GUAGUUGGACCUGUGUUCCACGCUGUCGGUUCGCCGCCCGUCGGUGUCAACUGGCAUGUCCUGUGGAACGUCCUGCCGGUGGCGGUCCGGGCUUUCGGCUUGCGUAAGGGCUCACGCCCGAAGCAGGUCGGACAGUACCGGCCGCCGGUCCAAUCCCGCCACGGUGCUCUUCACCGAGUGUCGAGGUGGGCCGGCACGUUUACUUUGAACAAAUUAGAGUGCUUAAAGCAGGCUGGUGUCCGCCUGAAUACUGUGUGCAUGGAAUAAUAGAAUAGGACCUCGGUUCUAUUUUGUUGGUUUUCGGAACCCGAGGUAAUGAUUAAUAGGGACAGGCGGGGGCAUUCGUAUUGCGACGUUAGAGGUGAAAUUCUUGGAUCGUCGCAAGACGAACCUAAGCGAAAGCAUUUGCCAAGUAUGUUCUCGUUAAUCAAGAACGAAAGUUAGAGGUUCGAAGGCGAUCAGAUACCGCCCUAGUUCUAACCAUAAACGAUGCCAGCCAGCGAUCCGCCGAAGUUCCUCCGAUGACUCGGCGGGCAGCUUCCGGGAAACCAAAGCUUUUGGGUUCCGGGGGAAGUAUGGUUGCAAAGCUGAAACUUAAAGGAAUUGACGGAAGGGCACCACCAGGAGUGGAGCCUGCGGCUUAAUUUGACUCAACACGGGAAACCUCACCAGGCCCGGACACCGGAAGGAUUGACAGAUUGAGAGCUCUUUCUUGAUUCGGUGGGUGGUGGUGCAUGGCCGUUCUUAGUUGGUGGAGCGAUUUGUCUGGUUAAUUCCGAUAACGAACGAGACUCUAGCCUGCUAACUAGGCGAUUCCGGUACCCACAAUAGUGUUACCGGCGAUUCAAUUUCUUCUUAGAGGGACAGGCGGCUCCUAGCCGCACGAGACUGAGCAAUAACAGGUCUGUGAUGCCCUUAGAUGUCCUGGGCCGCACGCGCGCUACACUGAAGGAAUCAGCGUGUCUUCCCUGGCCGACAGGCCCGGGUAACCCGUUGAACCUCCUUCGUGCUAGGGAUUGGGGCUUGCAAUUGUUCCCCAUGAACGAGGAAUUCCCAGUAAGCGCGAGUCAUAAGCUCGCGUUGAUUACGUCCCUGCCCUUUGUACACACCGCCCGUCGCUACUACCGAUUGAAUGAUUUAGUGAGGUCUUCGGACUGGUGCGCGGCGAUCGGUUUAUACUGCCGGCCGCCGAUGUUGCCGGAAAGAUGACCAAACUUGAUCAUUUAGAGGAAGUAAAAGUCGUAACAAGGUUUCC
This 1255-nucleotide ribosomal RNA is filed under the name Mahanarva funebris. RNAcentral describes it as "SSU rRNA". It matches the Rfam family "Eukaryotic small subunit ribosomal RNA", at positions 630 to 1804 of the family's 1831-position model. Lineage: Eukaryota; Metazoa; Arthropoda; Insecta; Hemiptera; Cercopidae. The record is from RNAcentral.